GAUGAACGCUGGCGGCGUGCCUAAUACAUGCAAGUCGAGCGAACAGAUGAGGAGCUUGCUCCUCUGACGUUAGCGGCGGACGGGGGAGUAACACGUGGAUAACCUACCUAUAAGACUGGGAUAACUUCGGGAAACCGGAGCUAAUACCGUAUAAUAUAUUUAACCGCAUGGUUCAAUAGUGAAAGACGGUUUUGCUGUCACUUAUAGAUGGAUCCGCGCCGCAUUAGCUAGUUGGUAAGGUAACGGCUUACCAAGGCAACGAUGCGUAGCCGACCUGAGAGGGUGAUCGGCCACACUGGAACUGAGACACGGUCCAGACUCCUACGGGAGGCAGCAGUAGGGAAUCUUCCGCAAUGGGCGAAAGCUUGACGGAGCAACGCCGCGUGAGUGAUGAAGGUCUUCGGAUCGUAAAACUCUGUUAUUAGGGAAGAACAAAUGUGUAAGUAACUAUGCACGUCUUGACGGUACCUAAUCAGAAAGCCACGGCUAACUACGUG
This 497-nucleotide ribosomal RNA is filed under the name uncultured bacterium. RNAcentral describes it as "partial 16S ribosomal RNA". It matches the Rfam family "Bacterial small subunit ribosomal RNA", at positions 28 to 507 of the family's 1533-position model. The record is from RNAcentral.